CAAUAUCAUAUAUGCAUGAAUCUCAGACGCGGUCUACAUGACCACAACUAUAUCAUAACUCUAUCCCAAAACUCGGGUGUCACAACUAGUCACAAACAUUUAAGAUGAGUACAAGAAUCUCAAUCUGAAUACAAAGUAUGUCCAGAAAUGGGAAAUACAAAGAAAAAUGUAAAGAGUAGGGGAGGGAGCACUCCAUGUGCUACAGAUCGAAUCAAGUAAGAAUCUAACCACAAAGUCUCUUGAUAGCACUCCUACUCCUUUGGGUGUAUUCCACCAAAGAUAGCCUUAGAACCUGCACAAAAUUUACAAAAGUGUAGUAUGAGUACGAGAAACACGGUACCCAGUAAGUAUCAAGUCUAGCUUCGGAGAAGUAGUGGUGAGAUGUCAAUAGUCGGACCUACUAUCAAUUCAAUAAUCAUAAGAGUCAUGAACAAUACAUGAAAUAAAGCAUGAUAUCAUCAGUCAAGUCUACUCAAGACAACACAAUAGCGCCCAUAUGUAGCCAUGCUCUUCAAAUAGGAGAUACACAAUAUCAGGUAUCUCAAAUCUUUCACAGUAGGAUAUAAGGCAACAACAAUCUAUGAUCAUAAGAGACAUUGCAUGAGUCUACGCUACCAAUGCAAGCUCACAUUCCAAUGCCGAUUCUCUGCAUGAAUCCAUACAACUAACAUAGAUCGAGUGUCCAAAUCAAUAUCAAUCUGAAUAUCUUGCACUCACAGGGCCCAAGGUAACAUGGGUAAUCACCUGACUCUGAAGGGACGAUACCAAAUCCAAGCAUCAUUAUGGCGUGCAACCUGAUCCACAAAUAUAUAGUAUAACUUUGUGGCAUGCAAUCCAAUCCAUAAAUAUUCCCGUGGCGGUGUGCCACUCGAUCCAACAUAUACCUGUGGUGGUUUGUCACCCGAUCCACACACAUACCUGUGGCGGCAUGCCACCCGAUCUACAACAAUCUCAUCAAUAUUCAAUAUCCGCUCAUAAUAUCUGUGGUGCCAAAACUCUAUCUUUUCAAAAUAUUCAGCUCUCCAACUCAUAGAUAAUAUGCAUAUGAGGCCGCAUAAUCAAAGGCAUCGAAUCAUAAUAAUAGAAAGGCUGAUAAAAGCACAAAUGGGUAAAGAUGGCUUCGGCAAAUCAUGUAAUUCAAUUCAUCUCAACGAUAUAACACGCAAUUUCAUCGUUCAAGAGUUUUACCAUAAUAUUUAACAUGAAUGAAUAAGCCAUUUAACUAUAAGGUCAUGAAUUAACAAGACAAAUAUAUGAUUACGGUUGAAUAAAGAAGCCCGAGGUGGCAAAACAAUCAUUUAUGCCCAAAUCACAAGUCAUAACCCUAGGCAUGCUUCUAAGCCACAAUUACAAGUCAUCAUGUAGUCAUAGAAUUAGUAAAACAUAAAUGAGAAUUUCGCAUAAUCAAAACAAGGCAUAAUCUUACGCCGAAUAUUUACCGGAUAUGUCAAAACUAGCUACACAUAUACCCUCGUCACCGCACAUAUACGUGGCUCCUAAAUCGAGCAACAAGUGGCAAAUAGAUUACAUAUCGAGAGAAUUUUCUCUUACAAGGAUAGACAAGAGACAUAUCUCCACCCGACAGUCUUCAACCUUCCAAAAUAGCCUUCCCUUUCAAAUCAACCUCCAAACGAGUCGAAUCUAGUCAAAUACAACUCAAUAACAUCAAACAAAGCCAUAGGAAUCAAUUCCAAAUAAUAAAGCUUCAAUCUUUAAUAAAAUACUGAGUCCAAAUAUGUGUUUAGAUUCUAAAACCGAGCAAAAAUCGACUCCAAAAUUCCCAAUUUACACUCUCCAAAAUUGUAGUCAAAACCUCCAAAUUUCUCUUUCAAAUCCCGUAGUCUAUGUGUAAUAAUCCAUGGGGAAGUAAGAUAUAAUAUCAAAAUCAAGUAGAAAUCACUUACCCACUUUCCUUGUGUGAAAAACCCUCUUCAAAAAUCGCCCCUCUCCACGUGUAGGGUUCAAAAUAUGAGAGAAUGGGGUAAAAUCCCGAAAUAUAACACUUAAGUGUUCUGCUCAGCGAUUCCCUUCGUGAAUACGGUCAUUGCAUCUUGUUUGCGAAGUACAAAAAGUCACUGCCUCAAAUAACCUUUCACGAACAUGGCUUCACCCUCGCGGAUACGAUGCACAGUCUCCCCAGGUCUACUUGAAUUCGAGCCCCCUCCCGAGAUCACGAAGGACAAGCACCUGCCAAUUCCCUGUCUUCCUCACUGCUACGCGAACGUGACCAUCAAGGCCCGAACGUGAAACCCAAUCUGCCGCACUAAUCGCGAAUGCGACCCCACUAUUGCAAACGUGAAGAAGAAUCUCCCCCCAGCUUCAUAAUACACUCCGCGAUCGCGAUUCUCCCGUUGCGAUCGCGAUGAAGAACCUGACUCGAACAAAAAUCUGCAAUUCUAACAAUGCUCCAGGUAGUUUGAAACUUGUGCCGUCCCCUGUCCAAUCACACCAACAAGUCCAUAAAUAUUACCCAGACCUAUCCAAAGUCUCCAAACACAUACACUAUCAUCACAGCUACAAAUCAAAUGUCAAACCACAAAUUGAAGUUCUCUUAAGUUCAAGAAUUUCCAAACUUCAAACUAAGCGUCCAAUUCAAGCCCAACCAAUCCGGAUUACAUCCAAACUUUGCAAACAAGUUCAAAUGAUAAAAUGAACCUAUUCCAAGUAUCGUAACCACAUUUCGAUUCAGAUAUUAUCAAAGUCAACUCCCGGUCAAACCAUUAAACUCUCUAAACCUUCAAAUUGCCAACUUUCGUCAAAUAGAGCCAAAACAUCCUAGUAACCUCCAAAUCCAAAUCAGAACAUACGCCUAAGUCCAAAAUCCCAAUUCGAUCCUACAUAAACUAUCAAAUCACCACUCUGAGGUCGUUUACAUAACAAUCAAACCUUGGUUGACUCUUAUGACUUAAGCUUCCAACAAUGGAACUAAGUGUUCCAAUUUAUUCCAAAACCUUCUCGGAACCAAACUAACCAUACCCGCAUGUCACAAAACAACCAUCAAACAUACGGGAAACAUCAAAUAGGGGAAUAAGGCUCAAAUACACAAAAUGAUCGGCCGGGUCAUUACAAUUUUAUCAUGCCUAAAAUAUUUCAAAUAAUUCAAGCUAUACAGACAACAAGCUCAUAACAUCCUAGCCUCAAAAUUUAACUCAUUACCAUAAAGUAUUCACAGGCUUGAACACUUACUCCAACAGAAAAGUCUAAUAAUGUCACCUAUCUGUAGUGAAAUCAUGUGGCCUCACAACAAAUCAAAGAAAGUAAAUAGUCCACACAUUCAAACUAAGAGUUUAAAUAUAAUUUAAGGACUCACUCAUAUGAAGGAAUUCACUCACUCUCACAUAGAAAGUCAUAUGCAUACAAAGGUACCAUAGGAUUAUCCAUUAUGUAAACCUAUACUAAUUUAGGCCCUUUCAAUUAGGAUUUAUUAUGGUUAUAAUGUGUGCUAAGGGACAGAAAUAGGAUAUAUUUAGAAAAUAGUGACUAUCGCUUCUAAUCACUUUAACACAUCAUAAUAUUUAACUUUAAGCGCACUUUUUCAUAACCCAGAUUCAAAUACCAUUACGCAAGAUCACCCCAUAACACUCCCAUUUCUAUAAGAACAUCACAUAUUAAUAACUCAUCAAGGACAAGAUAUAAUUGUUUUUCACGAUAAGUAUUUUUUACAACACCUUUUCUGUAUUUUGCGCUCUCAGCUAUUGGUUCUUUUUCUUUCUUACACAUAUGUACCUUUCUUCUUUUCCUUCAUUUCACUCAAAAGCUACGUAUGUUCCCUCCUUACUUUUUUCUAGCACUUAUUCUUAUGAUUUAAGUGCUUUUAGUGGUAAAAGGUUCAAAAAGAAUCAAUUAAAAACAAAAAAAGGUAUAGUCUUGUAAUAUGGGUGCCAAACAAAAUAUUUAUAGGCUAAAAAGGCUAACUAAGAAUAAUUUCAACAAUGGUAGGCCACAAGGCUCAAACGGGUCAAGCAAGGCCUAACAGCAUUUCUCAAAUUGAGGAACACCUAGGAUUUCGUUUCAACUCAUAUGUUGGGAAUGUUUUAGACUCAAAUGCAAAGCAUGAACUACACAAAGACUCACCUCACACAUGGCACAUGAUCCCCUAAGCACGAUUCCAUUCCGACUCUUAAAUCAAAAUAAGUUUCUACAGAGUCCAGAAUUAUUAAGCAUACAACUGUAAAUACGAGUCAAGAAAAUGAGCAUAUGCGGCACAAAGCAUGUUAUCUAGUUUUUCAAGGCAUCAAAAAUUCUAAAAUCCACAGGGAAGGUAAUGCACAUGCCAAGGCUGUUACACACAAUGUUUUCGUAUGCAAAAGUAUGUCGUAAGUAAAUUGACAUACGCUCGAAAGUGAGAUCCUCUUUGGACAAAUAAAAAUGAGCUGCUUGCUUACCCGACGUGCCUGCUCAGCCAAAUUAUUUUCCGUCCUACUUGCUUGAGCUACUUAACACGUGUCGUGAUUAUUAAAUGAGGACAAGACAUGUAUCUAAAUUAAUUAGGGAAUCAUGUGACACACCCUAAUUAAAGAAGUAGGUGACAAGUAGGUGUGUCACCUACUGCCCAAAUUAAAGGGUUGUUUGUGGCCCAAAUUAAAGGUUAAAGAGAGGCCCAUUGGGGCAGUAGUUUGGUCGACCAUAAGGUAUUAUUAAAGUCAACAUCUGGCCAUUUUCACCCAUUUUCAUCCAAAAUAAAGUUCAGCAACAUCCUCUCUUUCUCUCCCAAGCCAAACAACCACCCUUCUUUCUACUAGGGUUCUAAGUGAAAAAGGCUUCAAGUUUCAAUCCUCCCCCAUGGUGUGAGAUGAUUUUAAUGUGUUUUAUCUUCUCUCCUAAGAUAUCAAAAUUUUCUAUAACAAAAAUCCCAAGGCAGCCCCUCUCCUCCAAGGUUAAGCCACCUACUCUUUAUUAAAAAUAUUGUAGAAGUGGUGGAGAUCACAUGUUUGAUGUUGUUGCUAAGUUGUGAGCAUUCUUAAGUUAAAGGAAAAUUUUUCUAGGAUUUCUUCUUGCUGCAUAAGGUAAAGAAUCUUCUCUUCUUCAUGUGUUUGAGCUUAUUGGAGUCUUAGCUAUGUUGUGACAAUACGAACUUGUGAAGAAAUGGCCUAAAAUGAGUUCUAAGUUACUGCAAUUUGCUGGACUGUUAUGAGGUUAUUUUUAUAGUGUAUUGUGGCUGAAAAUUACUAGGAACAACCUGAGUACUGUUUUGAUUUUCACUGUUGAAGAGUAUUCAAGUUCUAGCUAAGUUUUAUGGAUGAAAAGGGCAAGUUAGCACUUGAUUAUUGGGUGAGAUGGUGUGGACUAUUUUGGUGAUGUAUUAUAAUGGAUAUAAGGUUAGAUAUUGAUGUAUAUAUGUUUGUUGACAUUCUAUACAUGUUGGUCUUGUUGUUUGAUAUGAGGAAAGUGAAAAGAAUAAGGGAAGGUGCUGUACAAAUUUUUGUAGAUGAGCUAGUCGCUCAUUUGUGUUGAAUUCUAGCUUCCGUAAGCUUAACAAUGGUCUCUUAUUGUUUGUUGUAUAUUGAAGUACUAACGGGCUGAAUUGAUAUCGUGUUGUUAAUUAAAUGACAAAGGUAUGUUAAGGCAUUUCCUUCUUUCCUUUGGCAUGAUCUAAAGUGAAAUGAAUGCAAACAAUACACCAUUUCAUAAUGGAUCUACUCCUAGAAACUAAGGAUAUCCAUGUUGUUCUUUCCUUAUAAAGUUAUUCUAAGCAUGUAUGUAUGAUCCUUGAAUCCUAUUGAGGUUCAUAUUGAUAGUAUGGAUGUCCAUAACUUUAAUCGAAGAGGCAACAACCUUACGUCACUCCGAAAGGUUGAGAAUGUGAUUCCAUGAGUCUAGCAUUAAUUAUAUAUAUGUACCUAUUUUACUCUACUGAGCCGCGCUAUAGUUGACCAGGUAAGACACCUAUUGUGCAACCACUGAUCAGUUGGGUUUCACCGAGCUCCACCUGGUCGGGUAUGAUUCUACCUAGCCUUAUUAUGGUCGGGUAUGUUUUUACUGAGCCUAUUACAGUCGGGUAUGAUAUGAUGAUGAUGAUGAUUCCCACAGAGGUGUAUAUUUUUAAACGAUUAUGUAUAUAUAUAUGUAUCAUGCAUUUCAUGUCAGUAGCCCUCAGAGGCACUCAAAUGUUAAAGAUUGUAUCUUCUCUAUAUCUCUUUGCAUUACAGUUCUUAUUAUAUUUUCUGUCUUACAUACUCGAUACUUUAUUCGUACUGACAUCCCUUUUGCCUGGGGAUGCUGCAUUUCAUGCAUGCAAGUCCCGAUAGAUAGGUUGGCAGUCCUCCUAGUAGGCUAUCAGCACAGCGGAAGGUGUUGGUGCACUCCUCUUACUCCUGAUUGCCUAUUUGGUCAGUAUGCUUUGGACAUGUAUUGAUUGGUAUGGCAUGGCCAUGUCCUGACCUUUAUUAUGUUUAUGUACUCUUAGAGGCUUGUAGAUAGAUGUCAUGUAUAUGGAUGCUUGUAUGGCCUGGUCGGCCUAUGUUUUGAGUGUACAAAUGAUCAUAUCAACCUUAUAGGCCCGUAUGUCACAUGUAUAAGUUUGUAUAUCAUGUUGGGUCAUCCUAUGUCGAGUAUUUCCUUAUGUUUUAUUCUGAUUAUCUUAUGACGGUCUUUCCGGCUCAUUUAGCCAUGAUAGUAUGAUAAUAAAGAUACGUUAUAUUGGUACUCGGAUGAGUAAGGCACCAGGUUCCCAUCACGGCACUUUGGUUUGGGUCGUGACAAACUUGGAAUCAAAGAAGUUCUAACCUAGUGAGUUUACAAGUCAUGUCUAGUAAAGCCAUGUUUAUAAAUGUGUUUUGCACCAAAUUAUAUAAACAGGAAGCUACAAGGCAUUUAGGAGUCUUCUACUUUUCUUUCAAAUCCAAAUCGUGCUAUAGAGAUGAGUCAUAAGAGUUUGAGUCGGUACUUAUGUUUGCUAAUGAUACAAAGAUGUUUGCAAUUAGAAAUAUUACGGCUAGCCAGAGGGCUAAUACAACAACGGUUAAGGGCACUAAUAGAAAGAGAGUUCAUGACGGCGUAGCCUAGUUUGAGCCCCUAUUAGAUCGUGCAUACCAGAUGUGCAAAUUUCCAGCUUAAGACCCUAAGAUGGGAAUAUCUAGCAUAGCGGGAAUAUCUAGCAUACCCCGCGAAUAAUAGGCCAUGGGAGUAUCAGAAGGUAAAAGUAUUAAGUGUCGACAAGUAACAAAAAUUAGGUUAAGAAGGGUACGAGAUACCCAGUUAAUGUAGAUUAUCAGUAUUUCCAAUUCAGGUAGAGAAAUAUAAGCAUUCUAAGUUACCUUCAACAAUAACAAAGGUAUGUAAAAUUGGCCAAACCCAUCUUAGUUAUGCCCUAUGGGAGCUAACAGAUACAGUUUAAGGGAAGGAUGGGAUAUAAGGAUCCAGCUGGGGUUAGAGUAAUCCAAAAUGGUGGAUGGAUUGUUAGCGUUAGCUAAAAUUUUUGAAGGAUAUUGCAAACAUGGUAAUAGUUCUCUUUGUGAGACACCCAGAUGGUGCAAUCUAGAAUAGUACAAUCAGAUAUGAAUACUAGAAUGUUCAAAAAUUUAGAAGAUAAGCACCGAAAUCCUAGAAGGGAUAAAUAUUUACCUUAGCAUGGCUCCCGUCCCUAGUAAAGAGAGAAUGUUAGGCGACCCGAAGAGCCAGUGGAUGGAGCAAGGGGAGCUAAAAUCGAAAGAAUAUUUUGUUGAAAUUUUUAGAAUAAUGUGAUAGAUAGAAAUAUUAGUAGGAGAAUAAGAAGAGAGUAAAUUAAGCGUUAUGAGUAAGAUGUGAUAAAUGGGUGAUAACAGUAAUCAAAAUAUGACAAGAUCACAGAGUCUAUAGUCAAGUGAAGGAAAAGACAAAAGGAGACAAGCCUUGAGACAAUAAAAGAGUAUAAGCCAUAAAAUCAUAUCCUCAUUUCGAGAAAUGAGUUGGUGACCCGAACGUGGUUAUCAGAAGGCUAAGUUAGACCCCCCCCCCCGGAGUAAUAGAAAUUAUAAUGGGCUAGUAAACAAGAAAAAAAAAUCAAACAUGAAUUAAGGUCCAAAGUAUUUGAUAAUAGUCGACAUCAUGAGAAUUUUAGAGAUCGCUUUCCGGCAAUAAUAGAAUGGACAAUAGAAGAAUAACCUUUAAAGGUCAUUUAGGAAGAUACUUCCCUAAAGCAAGCACUGUGAGUAGACUUAAGCUUAAGGGACUAAGUGUGCCAGUUGCACUAGGUGUCACCCUCGUGCGUAAUUAAUUCAGUUAUCCUUGGUAUAGAAGGGUUACUGCAAAGCGAGUAAAAGUCAAUAAAGACGAGAAAAGACGGCAAAGAUGAAGAGGUAAAACAUUUAUAGGUAAAUCUUCAUAGCAUUAAAUGUCAGUACUCCUCUAAAGGGGGGAAUAUGGUGUGAUAUGGUAUUAAGUCAGAGUUAUGUGGUUAUGUGGUUCAGGUAACUAUGGAAUAGUGAAGGAAGAAUGCAGUAAAAAGGCAAAAGGAAUGAGAUUGCAUUUAUUCAGAUCCUACAGAUAUGUUACGACUCCAAAACAUUAUGCAAGUACGAUGCCGGGGAUAGGUAGUAAGGGUUCUCGCCCAGGAUGUUACUGAUAAAUAAGUGUGAAUGAAUACUUGAUACAUAAAGAGCCAGUUCAAGAGGUAAGUUAAGACAAAUAAAAUAACCCAAGAGAGAUUACGCGGAAUAUAGAAAUGAGAAUGGACCAACGAGUAGUUAAUAGUUGAUUCAGGAAGAGUCUAGUUAUGGCUAGACAAGAGGAUACAUAUAAAUUAGCAGAUCGUGCAAGAUAAAUGUAAUGAACCCAAAUAUAGGAAAUUAAGUCCCACAGAUAUGACAUAGUAAUUAUUGAGAAAUAUUCAGAUAGGAGUUGGGGUAGUUAAAGGUACCGUAUAAGUGUUAUGAAAAUAAAAGAGAGUGCCACUGGGGAGACAAUAAAAAUUUCAUUUCAGAAGAACCCUUACGAGCACAAGGGCGGGGAGGUAAGUAACUAAGGAUAAUUAUAGGUGAGUAAGAACAUCAAAAAUUAUGUCGGGUAUACGAUGUAAUAAGCUCGCAGCUUUACAAGAGUCAGAGGGUCUCCCCUAAGUACUAUAACAAAAGACUGGAUGAGGAAAUAAGGAAGAAGGCUUCGACCUAAGCAUAGUGACCUGAAGAAGAAAUUAUCUUGUAACAACAGUCUCACUACAACAUUAUAUGCACUCCAUAAGAAAGUGGCACCUAUCGUGACUAAUGAACGGGAAAUAAAAUCAAAAGUAAUAUUCGAGAUCAUAUGAGUUACACAAAAUUCCAAUAUGUGUGGGCAUUAAGAUAAGUCAAGUAUUUAUGCAACAAGUGGCAGAACGACCAGAAAAAGUAAUUGCUUACAUUUAAAGACAACUGAGAAGGCACAAAAGGAAUUACUUGCUCUAUGACCCAGAGUUAGUUACGUUAUGACCGCACUUAAGAUUUCAGAGUAUUAUCCAUACAACAUAUAUGUUGACAUUCUUACAGUUAUAGGAGACUCUGGUAUAAGAUAAAAGAAAGAAUUGUCCAUGUUACAGACAAAGGCUUGAAUUGUUAGAAGAUUAUAACAUGGAUGUUCCACAACACCCAUGAAAGGCUAAAGUAAUAACUAAUACCAUGAGCCACAGAUUGGAAGACAGUUUAAGCCUACAUGAAGGCUGAGAGAGAAGAGGAAGCCUGAGAGUUACAAUAGCUAAGUAAAUCAGGAGUUUGAUUAUUAGACACAGAUAAUUAUAGAAAUCGUGAUUCAGAAUAAUGCAGAAUCACUCUUAAUAUCAUAGGUACAAGAGAGAUAGUACAACGACCAUAUUCUGUAAUGGUUCUACGAUAAAGCCAGUUAGAAGAGUACCAGCCUCAUAAGAAGUUAGUAUGAAGCUCCCAUCAGAUUAUGUAUGCACCAGAGGUGCAAGUAUUAUAGUAGAGCUUUAAUGUGUGGAAGUGAAUUCCACCUAUGUGGAAGGGAGGUUAUGAAAGAGACAGAAGAUACGAUGCGAGAUUUAAAGGUAAGUAAGGUAAAGGUAAAUAAGGUAUGAGAUACUCAAGUUCAGAAGGUUGUAAAUAGUCCAGACAUCAGAUAGAGGGCUAGAAGCACCGUGAUUCAGUAUCCAUAAAUGAUAGUGGUGUCAUCAGUAGCAUAUCUUUCAGCCUAUGGUUUCUAGGUACCGAGAGGUCGAGUUAGGAGAGUAAAGAAGAUUUAAAGACAACAUGAUGUCUCGCUUAAGUUGUUAGAAUAACAUAAGGAAAUAUAUGGUUCUAUCAAGUUAAAGGAAGGUUGCGAGUAUUAUAAAUAGAUAUGUCUAGGUCGCAAGCUAAAGUAUGGUUGAGUGACAAGGUUUUAGGUAGACGGGAGUAAGGAUAAGGAAAGGUGAGUGAGAAUGUGACAAGAAUAGGUAAGACCUUGAGAUUAAGCCCAUCAAACAAGAGAGCUGAUGGUUUUCAUAAGUUAUAGAAAGCUCAGUAUAGCCUGAAUGAACUCGGAGGAGUCUAAGACUAGGAUCAUUUAGAAGAGAUGGAACGUUGCCCUGGUAGUAGAAUAAGGGUGUAAUUGUGAUAGAUAUGAGGAUGACGUUUAGGCCUUUGAUUGAGUAAUGAUUCAAAGAAAAGGGAUUUCAUGAAUUGCACAGGAUUAAAAUACCCCCAUAAGAUGAAUCGUGUUGGGGUGCUAUGAAAUGUUAUUAAAGUGUAGCAUCGUCCCUAGGUGGAUCAGGCAAAUCACUUUCGAUGUUCCCCGAUGAGAAGUGAGCCCUAGUGACGAUAUAUUACAUAAGAGGUUUCAAGUUAUCAGUGGUAGAUUAUAGAUCAACAUUAAGAUGAAUCAACAAUUGAUGGAUAAGAGUUCCAAAGUAUGAGAGGAGAUUAGGAUGUUAUUUUUUAUAUGAACAGUAAUGAGGAAGCAUUAAAGGACUUAGAUUUAUACAUAUAGGAUAAGCAACCUGGAGUUGGGUAGCAGACCUCGGUAAUAAUAAACCAAAGUAAAAGUUAUGGUAUAGUAUGAACUACCUAGAUGUAGUAAAGCCAUAAGGAUAGAUAAUUGAGGCUAUGAAAUAAGAUAUAGCAAUAGUUAUAAGUUCAACAAAGUAUCUAGCGAAGAACAUCAGUACACCUAUAGAUGCCCAGAGGGACACCUUGUCAUAGUUCUGUAUAUGUUCACAAAGUGAGACCUAGGGAUUGGCUAAAAGUUAGAGGAAAAAGGAGAGAAAAGUCGCAUAGGUGCACAUACAAGGACAGAGUCAUACAGGCUGCAUGACAGAAGGUAGCAACAGUUACGAGAUUGGAGCAAUUCCGACCACAAGUCGUGGCGUGAGAAAGAGGUCUAAAGGGGGGAAUGCCUUGGCCUUUGGAUUUAUUCACAGAACAAUUGCCUAGAUAGCAUGGACAAUAUUAAAGUAUUUUUAAGGUUGUAGGUUAUGAGACUGAUAAGCUCAUCAGUCAACAUUCGAGGACAAAUAUUCCAAAGGGGGGAAUGAUGUUACACCCCAUAUUUUUGUACGCAAAAGUACGACAUAAGCCAAUUGAUGUAAGCUCGAAAAUGAGAUCCUCUUUGAAAGUAUAUAAAGUAAUUUAAUGAUGUUAUAUCCCGUAUUUCUGUUCAGCAUAUACACGACUAAGUUGAGGUUGAAGAAUUCACUUAAACGCGAGAAAGGAGAUUUUGGACAAAUAAAAAUGAGCUGCUUGCUUACCCGACGUGCCUGCUUCACCAACUUACUUUCCGUCCUACUUGCUUGAGCUACUUAACACGUGUCGUGAUUAUUAAACGAGGACGAGACACAUAUUUAAAUUAAUUAGGGCAUCAUGUGACACACCCUAAUGGAAGAAGUAGGUGACAAGUAGGUGCGUCACCUACUUGCUAAAAUGAGAGGCCCAAUUAAAGGGUUGUUUGUGGCUCAAAUUAAAGGUUAAAGAGAGGCCCAUUGGGGUAGUAGUUUGGUCGACCAUAAGGGAUUAUUAAAGCCAACAUCUGGCCAUUUUCACUCAUGUUCAUCCAAAAUAAAGUUCAGCAACAUCCUCUCUUUCUCGCCCAAGCCAAACAACCACCCUUCUUUCUACUAGGGUUCUAAGUGGAAAGGGCUUCAAGUUUCAUUCCUCCCCCAUGGUGUGAGAUGAUUUUAAUGUGUUUUAUCUUCUCUCCUAAUAUCUCAAACUUUUCUAUACCAAACAGCCCAAGGCAGCCCCUCUUCUCCAAGAUUAAACCACCUACUCUUUAUUAAAAGUGUUGUAGGAGUGGUGGAGAUCACUUGUUUCAUGUUGUUGCUAAGUUGUGAGCAUUCUCUAGUUAAAGGAGACUUUUCUAGGCUUUAUUCUUGAUGAAUAAGGUAAGUAAUCUUCUCUUCUUCAUGUGUUUGCGCUUAUUUGAGUCUUAUCUAUGUUUUGACAAUACGAGCUUGUGAAGAAAUCCCCUAAAAUAAGUUCUAAGUUACUGCAAUUUGCUGGACUGUUAUGAGGUUAUUUUUAUAGUGUAUUUUGGCUGGAAAUUAGUAGGAAUAACCUGUGUAUGUUGUGAUUGUCACUAUUGAAGUGAAUUCAAGUUCUAGCUAAGUUGUAUGGAUAGAAAAGUGCAAAUUAGCACUUUGUUAUUGGGUGAGACGGUGUGGACUAUUUUGGUAAUGUAUUGUAAUGGAUAUAAGGUUAGAUAUUGAUAUAUAUAUAUAUGUUUGUUUACAUUAUGUACCUGUUGGUCUUGUUUGAUUUGAGGAAAUUGAAAUGAAUAAAGAGAGGUGUUGUCCAAACUUUUGUAGACGAGCUUGUCGCUCAUUUGUGUUGAAUUCUUGCUUCCGUAAGCUUAACAAUGGCCCCUUAUUGUUUGUUAUAUAUUGAACUACUAACGGGCUGAACCGACAUCGUGUUGUUAAGUAAAUGACAAAGUUAUGUUAAGGCAUUUCUUUAUUUCAUUUGGGAUGAUCUAAAGUGAAAUGAACGCAAACGAUACGCUAUUUCAUAACAGAUCUACUCCUAGCAACUAAGGCUGUGCAUGUUAUUCUUUCCAUAUAAAGUUAUUCUAAGCACAUAUGUAUGAUCCUUGAAUAUUAUUGAGGUUCAUAUUGAUGUAUGGAUGUCCAUAACUUUAAUCGAAGAGGCAACGACCUUACGCCACUCAGAAAGGUUGAGAAUGUGAUUUCAUGAGUAUGCCGGGUACAACACCUAUUGUGCAACCACUGAUUAGUUGGAUUUUACCGAGCUCCACGUGGCCGGGUAUGAUUCUACCGAGACUUAUGAUGGUCGGGUACGUUUUUACCGAGCCUAUUACGGCCUGGUACGAUAUGAUAAUGAUGCCCACAGAGGCAUAUGUUUUUAAAAGUUUACGUAUGUAUAUGUGUGUGUGUGUGUGUGUAUAUAUAUANNNNNNNNNNNNNNNNNNNNNNNNNGUAUCUUGUCUAUCUCUCUUUACAUUACGGUUCUUAUUUAUGUUUUCUACCUUACAUACUCGGUACUUUAUUUGUACUGACGUCCCUUUGCCUAGGGACACUAUGUUUUAUGCUCGCGGGUCCUCCUAAUAGGCUAUCAACUUAAUGGAAGGUAGUGGUGCAUUCCACUUGCGACGGAGUUGCCUCUUUGGUCAGUAUGCUUUGGACAUGUAUUGAUUGGUAUAGCGGGGCCCUAUCCUGACCUUUAUUACGUUUAUGUACUCUUAGAGUCUCUUAGACAAAUGUCAUAUAUAUGGAUGCUUAUAUGGCCUGGUCGGACUAUGUUUUGAGUGUACAAAUGAUCAUAUCGGCCUUAUAGGCCCGUAUAUCACAAGUAUAUGUUUGUAUAUCAUGUUGGGUCAUCCUAUUUCGAGUAUUCCCUUAUGUUUAAUUCUGGUUAUCUCAUGACGGACUUUCCGGAUCAUUUACCCAUGAUAGUAGAUAAGAAAGAUACGUUACGUUGGUACUCGGUUGAGUAAGGCACCAGGAGCCCAUCGCGGCCCUUCUGUUUGGGUCGUGACAAAGGCCUUGAUAUGCUGGUAUCAAACAAGUCAAAAGGCCCCUAGGAAUCAAAUCAAUCUUCCUUCCCCUAGGAAUCAAAUCAAUCUUCCUUCUUUUAUUUAUUACAUCCUAAACUACUCUCAGAAAGAAAAAGCCACCCAGUUCAAGUUACAUCCCCUGGAAAAGAAUCGAUGCACAAAAAUAUCAGGGGGAAUUAUUGCCUAUCUAAGCACUUAAUACUACCUAAAAACAAGAAUAAAAAGAACAUAUUUUUUUAUUUUCCAAUUUUCAAAUUUUUUAUGUUUUUCUUUAGAUCUUAAUCCCUCAAGAAAACUGUCUAGGAGAUCCAUCAUUGGGAAAAGUCUAAUCUUCUUUCAUUUUCUCUUCUUUCUUAUUUCAAAUGAAUUAACUACUAAAUUAAUACUACAAAACUACCAAACUAAUAUUACUACAACUAUUAACUAACCGAGAGAAUUCUACCAUCCCACACUUAUAGAGUGCAAUGUCCCCAACAUACAAUAAAAGCAAAAAUAGCGAGGGCAGAGAAAGGAACUCCUUGUCACUCCGAACUAUACGAGAAGAACGGUUUAUCCUAAUCAUAUUAGUAGCCUCAUAAUUAUCAUUAGUGGCAUCAUCUGCCCCAUCCUCAGCGGUAUCCUCGUGAAUAAAUGGCUCAGUGGUGUUCACAUAUUCCUCUAGGUGCAUGACCUGGGCAAAACCAAUCCCAACCAACUGCUUAGUUUAACGGUUGAGUGGACAAUGCUCAAGUAACUAGCCUCUCUCAUGCUACAUAGCUGGAUGAUCUCCAAUUUUGGAGUUGAAUAUCCAACAUCCCAUAGAGAUGAGCCAUGAAGCUAUCUCGAGCCUCACGCUCAGCAGUAGUCAAUGUGAUCGCUCCUUCCUCAUCUGGACCACGUACACCAGAUAUCAGUAGCUCGAGACACUACCACAAUAAUGGUGUCACAAUUCAGAAUCUCUGUAACUCACUCAGAGCACAAGUACUGGGUAAGUACAUUGCCAUAGAACAUUUUGGACAACUUGCCAGCUCUAGUCUGCUCGAUUUUCUCUCGCAUCAAGUGAUCCACAUUCACAAGAUGCCCAGCCAUCAAGAAAUAAACUAGUUACACUCGCUCCCUCAUAAUAUGCAUAUCGUGCUCACAAGUCAGAAUCCUCAAGUUUACCAACUUCAACUAACUUUUGUCGGCUUCAGAAACUUCACCUUGGGCAUGGUGCCAUGUGUCACUUUCUUAUUACACAUCCACAUAAUAUUUGAAUUGACACAAAGGGCAUCUAGAGCCUUGCAUAAUGCUCUAGACAAAAAUUCAAUCAACGUCCCUCUAAUAGGCACCAAAUUAUCUAUGUAACGAACAUCCCAAUUGGCAUAAAACUCUCUAAUCAAGCUCACAUUUUCCUCUCCUAGGUUUUAGAACACAAACCCCAACCCACGUUAUGCAUGGUUGCCCAUAUAUGAUUGUAACUCGCCUUCAAAUUAUUAUCAUCAUUAGCCGUCUCAAGGGUAUACAUGGGUGGGAAGAAUUUCUUGUACCAUGAUUUUCCAUAAGGAAUAACAUGUUUGAUAUAAAUAGAGGCUUUUUCUUUCUUGCGACUCAGCUUGAGCUGAACUAGUAGAAGCUGCUUGCUUCCUUUUUGCUUGCUACUAGAUGUAGACUCAGUGCAAUUCCUCUUUUUAGGUGGUGUGGAAAUGGAGAUCUUGGGCUGAGCCGGAUCUUUGGCCUUAGUUGCAACUACUUUUGUCCGAACCACUUUUUAAAGUACCUGCAAACGACAUACUCAAAUAGUCUAGAGAUCCAAGAAAGAAACCAUAAACUGUUUCUUUCUUUUUCCUUUAUUUGAGGUUACCGAGUAGAAAGAAAGGUUAAGAUUUCUGUGCAAAAUUUCUGUUAGAUUUGGGUGUGCCGACAUUUCAACUUUGCUUAGGAAGAACGAUGAAAUUGGCACCAUUGAUUGCUAUUUUCAACACGCAGUGCUAUGUCCUCAGUUAGUCUCUAUUAUUGUACUUCAUUUAAGCUGACAUAAUUGACUUCGUUCUAAGUUCUGUACUUUUAUCUCGGACAAGCCAAAGUCAAAUGAGAUUCAGCUCUAACGAAACAUGAAAAUCGCCAAAAUGGUAACCUUGACGUGGAACAACUUGUGAGGACAAUCCUGUAGUCAAAACAUCGCACGACAAAUAUAACAGUUGUAUCAACUAACAAAUCUGAGGCAUUAGCACCGAGUUUUGAAACGCAAAGAACACGAGAAAGUUACAAGAGAACAAUUUUCUUUUCUCAGUUAAUUGUCGGUAGACUGAAAUUAAACUAAUUCGCAGACGAAUUUAGAUGGGAGACAAGAAUGAAUGACUACGAUCUUCUACGAAGGAAUUUGUGUCCCGGACUUCGCGUGUUCAUUUGAUGUUCACAGUAACAAGAAGUGUGCAGCUUAAUCAGAAAAAAACCAAAACUUGUCAAAAGACAGUGCUCCACUUCAAUAGAAUUAAACAUUUGAAGGGUAAAAAGAUGCUGAAUCAUGACCUACUGCUCGUUUAAGUUCAAAAUAUCAGUACAUAACAUGGACAUUUCGACAAAUACUUUUCUUUAAUUACAUCCAUACCAUAGACUACCCCUACUUAACUCGAUGACCAUAGCCUUCAUACAACAAGAGAAACACUAGCUUUGUGCACAAAGUUUCUAGCAACUACCCCAGCUCUAUUGAGCCACCCAACACUUAAUUCUCAUGAUUAUCAUCCUCGCAUAAUUUAAUUACUUCAAUCCCAGAGACUCAGGCUCCAAUUGGGACUUGAAUUGCCUUUAAGGCAAUUCAUCGAACACUUUGAAUACACAAUUUGUGUGUGAGUGUAUUCGCGAGUUAGGGACUGCCUCACCCUCCCAAAUUAGCUUGGGAAUUGAGUGUUAAACACUCAUAUCAGCAACAAAUAGAAUAAGUGUGGGGUAAAUGGGUUUGGAAUUCAAUGUCACUAGUUCCACCAUUGUUGCACAACUACUACUAAGAAAGAGAAAAGAGGCAUAUGACAUUCAUAUUGCCAUAGAUGAGUGAGUGAGAGAGAGAGAGAGAGAGAUUGAUCUAAAAGAAUAGAUGAAAGAAACUUACCUGGCCUUGAAGCGUGUUCAGCCAAGGGGGAUGGCAGUGAUGUUUGUGCGUUGUGUUUGGUUGAAAGGGAAUAAUGGGUUAGAGGAAGGAAGAGGACUUAAGUUUAUAUUUUUAAGGGAUGAAAGGGAGAAAAGGGGCUUGGUUCGGGUGUUAAUGUAUAAAGAAAAGGGGUCGAAUGUAA
Molecule: long non-coding RNA, 17141 nt
Filed under: Nicotiana tabacum (common tobacco)
Lineage: Eukaryota; Viridiplantae; Streptophyta; Magnoliopsida; Solanales; Solanaceae
Description: long non-coding RNA (NTAB_LNC017575)
Source: RNAcentral